AAGGUGGAUCUGGAUUUAUACAAGCUAGGCUAAAGAGGCAUCUAUUAUUUACAUUAAUAGUUUAUUUGUGCAAUUCAAAUUAGUUUGA
This 88-nucleotide transfer RNA is filed under the name Lamprocoris sp. HL-2012. Its description in RNAcentral is "tRNA-Val". The record is from RNAcentral. Lineage: Eukaryota; Metazoa; Arthropoda; Insecta; Hemiptera; Scutelleridae.